CUGAUUUGUCAUAUGUCUGUAUUAUUUUAAAAGUGGAAUAAAAUAUGCAAUUUUACAGAUUAUUUUUAAUGAUAUUAAAUAUUUAACGAUCAGUAUCGAUAGCACUCACAGAACCCACCCAGAGUUAACCUUAAAUGUCAUUCUAAGCAGAGUAACGAAAUGCCAACUCACCGUUCGCUCGCCGGUUUUCUUCAGAAAAUAAUCUUGAACGCUAGACAUAAUGUCUAGGCUACUUAUAUCGACAAUCUCUAAAUGUCCCUCCUUAAACUUGUAUCCUUUCAGAAUCGCCUUUGCCCUCACACAGAAGGGGCAGGAAGGCUUCUCAAACAUUGUUACUUUAGAAGCUUUAAGUUUACUUUGGACGAAUUUCUCGGCCAUUUCUUUUAACUUCUUUGUCCCUUACGAGAGGAAUUACGAAAGAGCGAAGGGUUUUAUAAGUGUGGCUCACACAGCUCUGUGUAACUGAGCCGGAUAGAGGGAAGGACAUCUAAAGCUUGUGGGUGGAACAUGGCUCCAGUAACGUAUGCAGUUUGUUAACACUAUCCUCUCUUUACUGUGUCAG
Molecule: non-coding RNA, 562 nt
Organism: Pelobates cultripes (western spadefoot toad)
Lineage: Eukaryota; Metazoa; Chordata; Amphibia; Anura; Pelobatidae
Source: the annotation of a GenBank genome assembly